Molecule: ribosomal RNA, 207 nt
Filed under: Triticum aestivum (bread wheat)
Lineage: Eukaryota; Viridiplantae; Streptophyta; Magnoliopsida; Poales; Poaceae
Description: partial small subunit ribosomal RNA
Source: RNAcentral
AUGGUGUGGCUGCAGUACACGGCGACCCGGCGGCAGCGCGCCGCCACGGCCUGCCUCUUCCUCACCGGGGCCGCGCUCAUCGCCAUCGCCGCCCACCUCUCCUACGCCAACAUCGAGCCCUCGCGCGCCAAGACUCCCACCCAAGCCCGGAUCACGCGCGUCGAAUUGAUUGAAGCUGCUGAUCGCGCUGCUGGUUCCAGAUACUAG